AAAGCAUGGUGAGAGCAUUUUCUAAGCAUAUACUUAAAUCUCUCCCAACUUUCUUGAAGAAAUUCUCCGUCAAAUUUGGAAAAAAAAAGUAAUAUCGUUUCUAAGUUU
Dendrobium catenatum is the source of this 108-nucleotide small nucleolar RNA. The record is from RefSeq and is a predicted model, not a curated record. NCBI's taxonomy places the organism in Eukaryota, Viridiplantae, Streptophyta, Magnoliopsida, Asparagales, Orchidaceae.